UCACCCCUCAAGCCCUCGGCUUGGUGUUGGACGGUCGGUGAAAGGAGACUUUCACCCCUCCCAAAGACAAUGACGGCGGCCUCGUUGGACCCCCGGUACACUGAGUUCUUCACGGAACACGUACUGGACUAUAGGGUCUGCGGGCACGGUCUACCUCCCACUCGGGAGAAUCUUUUUUACAA
Molecule: unclassified non-coding RNA, 182 nt
Filed under: uncultured Chaetothyriales
Lineage: Eukaryota; Fungi; Ascomycota; Eurotiomycetes; Chaetothyriales
Description: sequence contains ITS2
Source: RNAcentral